Molecule: ribosomal RNA, 427 nt
Filed under: uncultured bacterium
Lineage: Bacteria
Description: partial 16S ribosomal RNA
Rfam family: Bacterial small subunit ribosomal RNA
Source: RNAcentral
UGGGGAAUAUUGGACAAUGGGCGAAAGCCUGAUCCAGCCAUGCCGCGUGUGUGAAGAAGGUCUUCGGAUUGUAAAGCACUUUAAGUUGGGAGGAAGGGUUGUAGAUUAAUACUCUGCAAUUUUGACGUUACCGACAGAAUAAGCACCGGCUAACUCUGUGCCAGCAGCCGCGGUAAUACAGAGGGUGCAAGCGUUAAUCGGAAUUACUGGGCGUAAAGCGCGCGUAGGUGGUUAGUUAAGUUGGAGGUGAAAUCCCCGGGCUCAACCUGGGAACUGCAUUCAAAACUGACUGACUAGAGUAUGGUAGAGGGUGGUGGAAUUUCCUGUGUAGCGGUGAAAUGCGUAGAUAUAGGAAGGAACACCAGUGGCGAAGGCGACCACCUGGACUGAUACUGACACUGAGGUGCGAAAGCGUGGGGAGCAAACA